GCUGGGCGCAGUGGUGCACACCUAUAAUCCCAGCAGCUCUGGGGGCUGAGACAGGAGGAUCAAAGGAGUUCAAAGCCAGAGACAGCAAUGGGAAGGCACCAAGCAACACAGUGAGAGCCUGUCUCUA
This 127-nucleotide small RNA is filed under the name Marmota monax (woodchuck). The record is from RNAcentral. Lineage: Eukaryota; Metazoa; Chordata; Mammalia; Rodentia; Sciuridae.